RNAcentral lists this long non-coding RNA (1877 nucleotides) under Triticum aestivum (bread wheat). RNAcentral describes it as "long non-coding RNA (TAES_LNC024681)". Lineage: Eukaryota; Viridiplantae; Streptophyta; Magnoliopsida; Poales; Poaceae. The record is from RNAcentral.
ACCAAAUGGUCCCUGCGGAAUGCGGUGAUUUUUUCGAACACCUCCAAAUCACCCAAGUUUUGUCACACAUGAUCUCUUGUACAAACAAAGCUAGGUUUCCAAGGUUUUAUAUUUUUUUGAAUUUCUUUGAAUUUAUACUUCCCUCUAGACUGACUGAUUAUAACAUCCGUCUAUACCUCAAGGGGGCUAUGUAAAAUAUUUUUUGCAAAUUUUCUUUCAUAGGCAUGUUUGGCACAUGUGGGUCAUCGUGUAAAAUAAAAUGUGGGUGGUUUGGAGGUGGUGGAAAAAAUCACCGCAUGUUCAAAAAGUGGCUUAAGUUAAAAGACCAAAUGGUCCCUCCGGAAUGCGGUGAUUUUUUCGACCACCUCCAAAUCACCUCAAUUUCGGCACACAUGAUCUCUUCCACAAACAAAGCUAGGUUUCCAUGGUUUUAUAUUGUUUUGAAUUGUUUUGAAUUUAUACUGCCCUCUAGACUAACUAAUCAUAACAUCGGUCUAUACCUCAAGGGGGCAUUGUAAAAUAUAUAUUUUCCAAAUUUUCUUUCAUAGACAUGUUUGGCACAUGUGGGUUACCGUGUAAAAGAAAAUUUGGGUGAUUUGGAGGUGGUGGAAAAAAUCACCUUUGUUCAAAAAAUGGCUUAAGUUAGACCAAAUGGUCCCUCCGGAAUGCGGUGAUUUUUUCGACCACCUCCAAAUCACCUCAAUUUUGGCACACAUGAUCUCUUGCACAAACAAAGCUAGGUUUUCAAGGUUUUGUAUUUUUUUUAAAUUUCUUUGAAUUUAUACUGCCAUAUAGACUAACUGAUCAAGAUAUCGGUCUAUACCUCAAGGGGGCAUUGUAAAAUAUAUUUUUUCCAAAUUUUCUUUCAUAGACAUAUUUGGCACAUGUGGGUCACCGUGUAACAGAAAAUUUGGGUGAUUUGGAGGUGAUGAACAAAAUCACCUUUCUUCAAAAAAUGACCUAAGUUAAAGACCAAAUGGUCCCUCCGGAAUGCGGUGAUUUUUUCGACCAACUCCAAAUCACCUCGAUUUUGGCACACAUGAUCUCUUGCACAAACAAAGCUAGGUUUUCAAUGUUUUAUAUAUUUUUGAAUUUUUUUUGAAUUUAUACUGCCCUCUAGACUGACUGAUCAUAACAUCCGUCUAUACCUCAAGGGGGCAUUGUAAAAUAUAUUUUUUCCAUUUUUUUCAUAGACAUGUUUGGUACAUGUGGGUCACCGUGUAAAAGAAAAUGUGGGUGAUUUGGAGGUGAUGGAAAAAAUCAUUGCAUGUUCAAAAAAUGGCUUAAGUUAAGACCAAAUGGUCCCUCCGGAAUGCAGUGAUUUUUUCGACCACCUCCAAAUCACCUCAAUUUUGGCACACAUGAUAUCUUGCACAAACAAAGAUAGGUUUCCAAGGUUUUAUAUUUUUUUGAAUUUUUUUGUAUUUAUACUGCUCUCUAGACUGACUGAUCAUAACAUUGGUCUAUGCCUCAAGGGGGCAUUGCAAAAUAUAUUUUUUCCAAAUUUUCUUUCAUAGACAUGUUUGGCACAUGUGGGUCACCGUGUAAAAGAAAAUUUGGGUGAUUUGGAGGUGGUGGAAAAAAUCACCUUUGUUCAAAAAUGGCUUAAGUUAGACCAAAUGGUCCCUCCGGAAAGCGGUGCUUUUUUUACCACCUCCAAAUCACCCAAAUUUUGGCACACAUGAUCUCUUGCACAAACAACGCUAGGUUUUGAAGGUUUUAUUUUUUGAAUUUCUUUGAAUUUAUACUGCCCUCUAGACUGACUGAUCAUAACAUCCGUCUAUACCUCAAGGGGGCAUUGUAAAAUAUUUCUUUCCAAAUUUUCUGUCAUAGGCAUGUUUGGCACAUGUGGGUCACCGUGUAAAAGAAAAUGUGGG